AAACAGAGCGUGGCCGGAGUUUGGAGAGAUUUGUUAGCAGGAGUUUGGAGAGAUUUGUUUGAAAAAUUUAAAGACGAAGACUUCAUCUUAACCGACGCAAGAGGCAAUUUCAGAGCAGGUCCAGGAAGAGAUCGCUAUGAGUCAAACACAGAUGGAGGUUCUGACCCCUGCGCUGAGUUAGAGAUAAGGAGAACUCACUGAUGAUGAGACCCCCAGGCUUCCACAGAAGAACAAAGUCAAACAUGAGAGAGCAGAGAGCAUGGAGUGAGGUAGAGAGAACUGCGAUGUAGAGUGCCUGGAAAAAAGGACUGUGAGCAAUGUAUACAUGGAGAAAAGGCCUUGGCUCAAGGGUCAUGGAAAGAUGUCAAACUUUGUGUACAACACAAUUGUGACCCUUAGACAAAGCGGCGCUUCACGUA
Molecule: long non-coding RNA, 419 nt
Organism: Micropterus salmoides (largemouth bass)
Lineage: Eukaryota; Metazoa; Chordata; Actinopteri; Centrarchiformes; Centrarchidae
Exons: 4
Source: RefSeq, a predicted model, not a curated record